RNAcentral lists this ribosomal RNA (2490 nucleotides) under Shigella sonnei. Its description in RNAcentral is "bacterial LSU rRNA". It matches the Rfam family "Bacterial large subunit ribosomal RNA", at positions 453 to 2925 of the family's 2925-position model. Lineage: Bacteria; Pseudomonadati; Pseudomonadota; Gammaproteobacteria; Enterobacterales; Enterobacteriaceae. The record is from RNAcentral.
CCAUCCUCCAAGGCUAAAUACUCCUGACUGACCGAUAGUGAACCAGUACCGUGAGGGAAAGGCGAAAAGAACCCCGGCGAGGGGAGUGAAAAAGAACCUGAAACCGUGUACGUACAAGCAGUGGGAGCACGCUUAGGCGUGUGACUGCGUACCUUUUGUAUAAUGGGUCAGCGACUUAUAUUCUGUAGCAAGGUUAACCGAAUAGGGGAGCCGAAGGGAAACCGAGUCUUAACUGGGCGUUAAGUUGCAGGGUAUAGACCCGAAACCCGGUGAUCUAGCCAUGGGCAGGUUGAAGGUUGGGUAACACUAACUGGAGGACCGAACCGACUAAUGUUGAAAAAUUAGCGGAUGACUUGUGGCUGGGGGUGAAAGGCCAAUCAAACCGGGAGAUAGCUGGUUCUCCCCGAAAGCUAUUUAGGUAGCGCCUCGUGAAUUCAUCUCCGGGGGUAGAGCACUGUUUCGGCAAGGGGGUCAUCCCGACUUACCAACCCGAUGCAAACUGCGAAUACCGGAGAAUGUUAUCACGGGAGACACACGGCGGGUGCUAACGUCCGUCGUGAAGAGGGAAACAACCCAGACCGCCAGCUAAGGUCCCAAAGUCAUGGUUAAGUGGGAAACGAUGUGGGAAGGCCCAGACAGCCAGGAUGUUGGCUUAGAAGCAGCCAUCAUUUAAAGAAAGCGUAAUAGCUCACUGGUCGAGUCGGCCUGCGCGGAAGAUGUAACGGGGCUAAACCAUGCACCGAAGCUGCGGCAGCGACGCUUAUGCGUUGUUGGGUAGGGGAGCGUUCUGUAAGCCUGCGAAGGUGUGCUGUGAGGCAUGCUGGAGGUAUCAGAAGUGCGAAUGCUGACAUAAGUAACGAUAAAGCGGGUGAAAAGCCCGCUCGCCGGAAGACCAAGGGUUCCUGUCCAACGUUAAUCGGGGCAGGGUGAGUCGACCCCUAAGGCGAGGCCGAAAGGCGUAGUCGAUGGGAAACAGGUUAAUAUUCCUGUACUUGGUGUUACUGCGAAGGGGGGACGGAGAAGGCUAUGUUGGCCGGGCGACGGUUGUCCCGGUUUAAGCGUGUAGGCUGGUUUUCCAGGCAAAUCCGGAAAAUCAAGGCUGAGGCGUGAUGACGAGGCACUACGGUGCUGAAGCAACAAAUGCCCUGCUUCCAGGAAAAGCCUCUAAGCAUCAGGUAACAUCAAAUCGUACCCCAAACCGACACAGGUGGUCAGGUAGAGAAUACCAAGGCGCUUGAGAGAACUCGGGUGAAGGAACUAGGCAAAAUGGUGCCGUAACUUCGGGAGAAGGCACGCUGAUAUGUAGGUGAAGUCCCUUGCGGAUGGAGCUGAAAUCAGUCGAAGAUACCAGCUGGCUGCAACUGUUUAUUAAAAACACAGCACUGUGCAAACACGAAAGUGGACGUAUACGGUGUGACGCCUGCCCGGUGCCGGAAGGUUAAUUGAUGGGGUCAGCGCAAGCGAAGCUCUUGAUCGAAGCCCCGGUAAACGGCGGCCGUAACUAUAACGGUCCUAAGGUAGCGAAAUUCCUUGUCGGGUAAGUUCCGACCUGCACGAAUGGCGUAAUGAUGGCCAGGCUGUCUCCACCCGAGACUCAGUGAAAUUGAACUCGCUGUGAAGAUGCAGUGUACCCGCGGCAAGACGGAAAGACCCCGUGAACCUUUACUAUAGCUUGACACUGAACAUUGAGCCUUGAUGUGUAGGAUAGGUGGGAGGCUUUGAAGUGUGGACGCCAGUCUGCAUGGAGCCGGCCUUGAAAUACCACCCUUUAAUGUUUGAUGUUCUAACGUGGACCCGUGAUCCGGGUUGCGGACAGUGUCUGGUGGGUAGUUUGACUGGGGCGGUCUCCUCCUAAAGAGUAACGGAGGAGCACGAAGGUUGGCUAAUCCUGGUCGGACAUCAGGAGGUUAGUGCAAUGGCAUAAGCCAGCUUGACUGCGAGCGUGACGGCGCGAGCAGGUGCGAAAGCAGGUCAUAGUGAUCCGGUGGUUCUGAAUGGAAGGGCCAUCGCUCAACGGAUAAAAGGUACUCCGGGGAUAACAGGCUGAUACCGCCCAAGAGUUCAUAUCGACGGCGGUGUUUGGCACCUCGAUGUCGGCUCAUCACAUCCUGGGGCUGAAGUAGGUCCCAAGGGUAUGGCUGUUCGCCAUUUAAAGUGGUACGCGAGCUGGGUUUAGAACGUCGUGAGACAGUUCGGUCCCUAUCUGCCGUGGGCGCUGGAGAACUGAGGGGGGCUGCUCCUAGUACGAGAGGACCGGAGUGGACGCAUCACUGGUGUUCGGGUUGUCAUGCCAAUGGCACUGCCCGGUAGCUAAAUGCGGAAGAGAUAAGUGCUGAAAGCAUCUAAGCACGAAACUUGCCCCGAGAUGAGUUCUCCCUGACCCUUUAAGGGUCCUGAAGGAACGUUGAAGACGACGACGUUGAUAGGCCGGGUGUGUAAGCGCAGCGAUGCGUUGAGCUAACCGGUACUAAUGAACCGUGAGGCUUAACC